Long non-coding RNA from Dermochelys coriacea (leatherback sea turtle), 236 nucleotides. RefSeq lists it as uncharacterized. Lineage: Eukaryota; Metazoa; Chordata; Testudines; Dermochelyidae. The record is from RefSeq and is a predicted model, not a curated record. The transcript has 3 exons.
ACUUAAAAAGGUUCUUGGACUAAUAAAGGCAAGCAGGCUAAUUAGGACACCUGUAGCCCAUUGGGAAGCUGCUAGAAUUAAUUAAGGCUAAUCAGGAUACCUGGUUUUAAAAGGCUCUCACUCCAAUUAGUGAGGUGUGCGUAAGGAGCUGGGAGUGAGGGGACUACUGCUGGAGGAUUGAGGAGUACAAGCGUUAACAGACAUCAGGAGGAAGGUCCUGUGGUGAGGAAAAAGAA